GGGCCCGCACAAGCGGUGGAGUAUGUGGUUUAAUUCGAUGCAACGCGAAGAACCUUACCAGGGUUUGACAUCCUGCGAAUCUCUUGGAAACGAGAGAGUGCCUUCGGGAGCGCAGUGACAGGUGGUGCAUGGCUGUCGUCAGCUCGUGUCGUGAGAUGUUGGGUUAAGUCCCGCAACGAGCGCAACCCACGUCUUUAGUUGCCAGCGGUUCGGCCGGGGACUCUAAGAAGACUGCCAGCGCAAGCUGAGAGGAAGGUGGGGAUGACGUCAAAUCAUCACGGCCCUUACGUCCUGGGCUACACACGUGCUACAAUGGUACAGACAGAGGGCAGCCACCUGGCGACAGGGAG
RNAcentral lists this ribosomal RNA (350 nucleotides) under uncultured bacterium. Its description in RNAcentral is "bacterial SSU rRNA". It matches the Rfam family "Bacterial small subunit ribosomal RNA", at positions 917 to 1267 of the family's 1533-position model. The record is from RNAcentral.